CGCGUAUGCACGGCGGGGAGUUCUUCCCGGCUGACAGAGCUUUACGACCCAGAGGCCUUCAUCACUCACGCGGCGUCGCUGGAUCAGGCUUGCGCCCAUUGUCCAAUAUUCCUCACUGCUGCCUCCCGUAGG
RNAcentral lists this ribosomal RNA (132 nucleotides) under uncultured bacterium. RNAcentral's name for it is "partial 16S ribosomal RNA". The record is from RNAcentral.